AUUGAACGCUGGCGGCAGGCCUAACACAUGCAAGUCGAGCGGUAGAGAGAAGCUUGCUUCUCUUGAGAGCGGCGGACGGGUGAGUAAUGCCUAGGAAUCUGCCUGGUAGUGGGGGAUAACGUUCGGAAACGGACGCUAAUACCGCAUACGUCCUACGGGAGAAAGCAGGGGACCUUCGGGCCUUGCGCUAUCAGAUGAGCCUAGGUCGGAUUAGCUAGUUGGUGAGGUAAUGGCUCACCAAGGCGACGAUCCGUAACUGGUCUGAGAGGAUGAUCAGUCACACUGGAACUGAGACACGGUCCAGACUCCUACGGGAGGCAGCAGUGGGGAAUAUUGGACAAUGGGCGAAAGCCUGAUCCAGCCAUGCCGCGUGUGUGAAGAAGGUCUUCGGAUUGUAAAGCACUUUAAGUUGGGAGGAAGGGUUGUAGAUUAAUACUCUGCAAUUUUGACGUUACCGACAGAAUAAGCACCGGCUAACUCUGUGCCAGCAGCCGCGGUAAUACAGAGGGUGCAAGCGUUAAUCGGAAUUACUGGGCGUAAAGCGCGCGUAGGUGGUUUGUUAAGUUGGAUGUGAAAUCCCCGGGCUCAACCUGGGAACUGCAUUCAAAACUGACUGACUAGAGUAUGGUAGAGGGUGGUGGAAUUUCCUGUGUAGCGGUGAAAUGCGUAGAUAUAGGAAGGAACACCAGUGGCGAAGGCGACCACCUGGACUAAUACUGACACUGAGGUGCGAAAGCGUGGGGAGCAAACAGGAUUAGAUACCCUGGUAGUCCACGCCGUAAACGAUGUCAACUAGCCGUUGGAAGCCUUGAGCUUUUAGUGGCGCAGCUAACGCAUUAAGUUGACCGCCUGGGGAGUACGGCCGCAAGGUUAAAACUCAAAUGAAUUGACGGGGGCCCGCACAAGCGGUGGGGCAUGUGGUUUAAUUCGAAGCAACGCGAAGAACCUUACCAGGCCUUGACAUCCAAUGAACUUUCUAGAGAUAGAUUGGUGCCUUCGGGAACAUUGAGACAGGUGCUGCAUGGCUGUCGUCAGCUCGUGUCGUGAGAUGUUGGGUUAAGUCCCGUAACGAGCGCAACCCUUGUCCUUAGUUACCAGCACGUCAUGGUGGGCACUCUAAGGAGACUGCCGGUGACAAACCGGAGGAAGGUGGGGAUGACGUCAAGUCAUCAUGGCCCUUACGGCCUGGGCUACACACGUGCUACAAUGGUCGGUACAGAGGGUUGCCAAGCCGCGAGGUGGAGCUAAUCCCACAAAACCGAUCGUAGUCCGGAUCGCAGUCUGCAACUCGACUGCGUGAAGUCGGAAUCGCUAGUAAUCGCGAAUCAGAAUGUCGCGGUGAAUACGUUCCCGGGCCU
Molecule: ribosomal RNA, 1358 nt
Filed under: uncultured bacterium
Lineage: Bacteria
Description: bacterial SSU rRNA
Rfam family: Bacterial small subunit ribosomal RNA
Source: RNAcentral